GUCCACGCCGUAAACGAUGGAUGCUCGGCGUCCGUGGGGGAUACCCCGUGGGCGCCUCAGCUGACGCGGAAGCAUCCCGCCUGGGAACUACGAGCGCAAGCUUAAAACUCAAAGGAAUUGACGGGGGCCCGCACAAGCAGCGGAGCGUGUGGUUUAAUUCGACGCAACACGCAGAACCUUACCCAGCCUGGACAUGGACCUGCAGGCGCAAGAGAUUGCGCGGCCUUCGAGGGUGGUCCACAGAUGCUGCAUGGCUGUCGU
RNAcentral lists this ribosomal RNA (261 nucleotides) under uncultured bacterium. Its description in RNAcentral is "partial 16S ribosomal RNA". It matches the Rfam family "Bacterial small subunit ribosomal RNA", at positions 793 to 1055 of the family's 1533-position model. The record is from RNAcentral.